Molecule: non-coding RNA, 23 nt
Filed under: Arabidopsis thaliana (thale cress)
Lineage: Eukaryota; Viridiplantae; Streptophyta; Magnoliopsida; Brassicales; Brassicaceae
Source: RNAcentral
ACAAAUUUUCAGACCAUUGUCCA